CGUGUAGGCGGCUAAGUAAGCUUGGUGUAAAAGGUGUCGGCCCAACCGGCAUUAUGCGCUGGGAACUGCUUGGCUUGAGUUUAGGAGGGGGAGCUGGAAUUCCUGGUGUAGGGGUGAAAUCUGUAGAUAUCAGGAAGAACACCGGAGGCGAAGGCGAGCUCCUGGCCAUAGACUGACGCUGAGGCGCGAAAGCGUGGGGAGCGAACA
RNAcentral lists this ribosomal RNA (207 nucleotides) under uncultured bacterium. RNAcentral describes it as "partial 16S ribosomal RNA". It matches the Rfam family "Bacterial small subunit ribosomal RNA", at positions 568 to 774 of the family's 1533-position model. The record is from RNAcentral.